Molecule: long non-coding RNA, 2967 nt
Organism: Gallus gallus (chicken)
Lineage: Eukaryota; Metazoa; Chordata; Aves; Galliformes; Phasianidae
Exons: 2
Source: RefSeq, a predicted model, not a curated record
ACGCAUGCGCGUACUAUGAGACUGCAAUACGCAUGCGCGAGCUUCGCGUCUGCAGUACGUAUGCCCGAGCUUCGGGACGGUAGUACGUAUGCGUGCACGAGCCUCGAGACUACUACGUAUGCGCGAGAAAUGAGACGGCAGUACGCAUGAGCCACAUUAUUGACGGCAGCAGAUGAGUGACUACAUGAAUAGAAUCUGGAUAUAAAAAUGAAAUGAGCAUCUGGCACAGCGUCAAGUACAUUAUGUUGACUUUCACCUCUGAGCAUCUGAACAGCUAUUUGUCAUCUGACAUCCCUGACAACUCACACCUGAAAACAGAGGGAACUAGCACACAUUCUGCAUGGGGAAAAUUCACAAAAGCUGUCUCUGUGAACAACUACUCUGUUCUGACAAAAAGUUUAAGGAAGACUCCAAUACACUGUAGCCUAAGAUUUAGAAAACCCAGCCUACACUUUGCCUAGGUGUGGUUUUCAUCCCAUAUCACCUUGAAUAAGCCAUCAUUACGAGUUAGGUCUGAGUUUCUUAGAACCCACAGGUUUUUUGUUACCUUGAGACUAAAACAGACACAGUUGAGCAUCAUUUUUUAAAACACCUGAAAUACUUUAUCUUCAUUUUUCUGAGGCUCAAAUAUAAUUUUCUGUGUUUCAGAAGUUCCAGUAAAAAGUUGACUCCUGGUAAAUUCCUCUACAAACUGAACUAAUGUCUCAGAUUCUGCAAUAAACACAAUUUGCCAUUCUACACAUAACAGAUAAAAUACCUUUUUUCACCCCUGCUUUAAGCUGUUAAAUGGGUUUGGAGCGUUUGACCUUCAGAGUUUGCAUAAAAUGGAGCAUCUCGUAUGAACAGCCAGGUGAAUAGGAUGUCAAGUCACAGAAAAAAUCUUCAAGACAAAGAGAAACGAUACCAUAGCAUGACACUGCCUAACAAGGUAUUAGAGGAACUUCCUCACAUAGCUAAACAUACCAUCACUUGAAAAUCUAUGGGAUGGGUGAGGGACUUUAGAGUGUGGGACCAUGAUGGGAAGUUGGGAAAUUCUCAAAGCAUAAAAGCAGCACAAAAUGGCUGUAGAAUACACCACAGAGAUAAUCAAGAUAGUGAAUAGUGUACAUCCAGGACACACAGGUAUGUGCGCAGCUCAUCGCCCCACAGCCUUGUGCAGUCCAUGUUAAAGCCCAAAAUGAGGUGUUAAAACAAUUUAAGCUGAUCUGUUUCAAUACCACCAAGUCCCACCUUCCUCCCUCCCCACACAUGUACCAUAGCCCAGAACAGCCCACAUCCCACACUCCUCUCCAGGGCAUUCCUUAGCAUGACCCUCUGUUUCAGUGGUUACCAUUCGUCCUCCUCCAAGGGACACAGCUUGGCCAUUCACUGUGGUGACACCAAUAUGACGAGCAGCAAAUGGCGAUUUAUUGAAUCUCACACACACUUAUAUACUCUAUGCCCUUCGUGUACGCCUACUACAUUGUACACGUCAUAGCUCCUCCUAGAGUAGGGGAAGGGUCUAACGCGUCACAACCCGAGAAGCUCGCAUGCGCCUAAUACAACAACCCUCCUGCCCCAAACCCUUCACAAUGAGACCCAACCCAGAGCUCCUCCAGUAGGUUGGCUCGUGACAGACCAGCAAUAUAAAGCUGCUGAACCAUAUUUCCUGCGGAUAGGGUCUGUCCACCACCGCCACGCUGCACCCAGGGCCUAGCAUAUGUUCAGGGCUGCCUCCAGUCAAGGUCACACAAAACAUCCAUCGUCACAAAUGACUGUUUACUUAUAUGUGAGUUACAAAGGCAAACUUUACUAGCAAGAAAAGACAUACCUUCUACUUGUAGCUGCUCCAAUCGUAAAUACAAUGGUAUACAGGAAUAAGCAAAGCCAAGUCACCAAUAAAUUAUAAAAUACAUAUAACUUAGUGCUGAGACUGAUGUCUUUAUUAACAGUUUUUCCUUUAAAAAAAAAUGCUCCGUCUCCGAACAAACUCCUCCUCCUUCAGAUAGUUCUCUCGUUUUUUGUUUGUUUUCAAUUUUUGUCAAAAUCCUUUUCGUCAUUAAGUGUAGGUAAUGAGACAAGUAUUGUAAAUCACCUGCUAUGGAUGUUUUCCUUGAUCAGUGUAUGACCACUGCUAACACCUCACUGCAUUUUCCCUGAUCCCACCUGGGUUGUAGUUUAAAGACUGCCAGACACUGAAAAAUAUUAAAAGUCUUCAAUUAAAAAAAAUUAAAAGGGAGAGGGGAUUAAUCUCUGUAGCUCAAGAGUUUGCAGAGUACAGCUGCAUUUUCUUAACAAUAUUUAAGAAUUUUCUACCAUUACUCUCAUCACCCCCAGAUCAAAGUAACACAAUUCUUAAGUCCCUCUAUGAUACAGCAAACUCACAUGCAGCUAGAUAAAAUUAAAAAAAUCAAGGCAAGAUCUUUAAUUCAUUUCACAUCACUUCUUAAGAUAUCAGUGAAAAUCUGAGGUCACUCUCUUUCAGAUGACCCACACUGCAAACAUCUUUUUUGGUACAGUAUGUUAUGAAAAGGAAUUUUUGUUAUUGUAUUGUGCUGGCCUAACAUUAAAAUGUUAUUUUAUUAGCAUGCACCAUCAUUAACAUGUCUUAUAAGAUAUAAAAAUAUCUUAUAAGAUGAUGUUUUAAUGUUGGUGCAUGCCAGUAACAUGCAUUUCAUGCAGAGUAGACACUAGAAAACACUUACUAAAGGAUUAUGGAAAAAUUAUCCUCAGGGAUGUAACCAAUUCAAAUACUAUGAGUGGCUUUCAUUAGCAAAAAUCUAUGCCAAUGAACUAAUACAGUGUAUUAAGUUCAGAUAUAAGGCAGUUCUACAACUCAGUAAUCUAAACAAAAAAAAACCCUGCAAAAAUGACAUGAGAUUUGUAAUUAAGAGAUGUUUCUCAAAAAAAAAAAACCAGAAAGAAAAAGAAAAAAAGGAGGGGGCAGGGCAAACAAUUUAUUUUGGGUAGGAUUUAUUCAAGAUUCUC